Molecule: unclassified non-coding RNA, 3243 nt
Filed under: Hevea brasiliensis (rubber tree)
Lineage: Eukaryota; Viridiplantae; Streptophyta; Magnoliopsida; Malpighiales; Euphorbiaceae
Source: RNAcentral
UUUUUUUUUUUCUUUUUUUUCCUUUUUUUAGCUCAGUUCAAAUUCUGUAGGUAUGAGCAAAAAGGUCAAUCCAUGGAAAGUCUAGCCUGAACUAUCAAACCGGUACUCCAAUACAAGCUCUUAGGGAUGACUGAGGCAUUAGCUGCUGCAGCUUCAGCAACAGCAGUUGAGGCAUACAAAGAUGUGAGAAACAUAAUUGGGUCCAUUGAUGGAGCAAUAGACUAUGCAAAAAAUUUAGAAAAGAAUUAUGAAAGGUUGAAAGAGGAUGCAAAGAAGCUGUAUGCAAGGAGGGAUGAUUUGUUGGCUAAAAUAAACACAGAUAAGAGAAAACAAGCCACCAAAGAAUGUGAAGUGUGGAUUUGCAAGGUGAACAAAAUUGAAAAAGAGGUGCUAAACCUGGAAGCCGAAUAUGAGGAGCAAAAGAAGCAUCAUCGCUUUUGGCAGUAUCCAAAUCUUAGCAAAUGCAUGGCAGAGAAGCUUGAUGAUUUGUGCCGUUGCUGGGCAGAAGGAAGCUCUUUUGCAACAGGUGUGGUAGUUGAGAGGUCACCUGAGCCUAUCAUUAAAGUAAAAGCCCCAAGAAUAGAGGACAAGUCAUCACUCUUGAGGACUGUUGAAAAGAUACUGGAACUCCUAAGGGAUGAUGAUGUAAAAAGAAUUGGGGUAUGGGGGAUGGUUGGAGUUGGGAAAUCAGCAAUUCUGCAAAAUCUGAACAAUAAUGAACAAAUUGCUAAAAUGUUUGACAUAGUAAUUUUUGUGGCUUUAACAGAUGAAGGCAAUGAAGAAGAGUUACAGCAUGCAAAAAUAAAGCUAAAAUGUGCAAAACAAAAGUUGCAAUGUGAAAUUGCACAAAGGCUGAAGUUGAAUGUGGAAGGCCUUACUGACACUAAGAGAAUUGCCUCAAGAAUUUUUGAGGAGCUGGAGUGUAAGAGGUAUUUGCUUCUUUUGGAUGGUGUAUGGGAAUCUUUUAAUUUAGAUGACAUAGGCAUCUAUGAAAAUGAGAAUGAUAGCAAGGUGGUUCUAGCAUCUAGAUACCGUGAUGUUUGUAUGGGUAUGUGUGCUGAUGAUAUAGUCAGGGUUGAAUCACUCUCAGAAGUUGAUGCUCGGAAACUCUUUCUAGAAAAACUAGGCCGACAUAUAAAUCUCUCAGAUUUUGAUCCAGUAAUCCCGCUUGUCAUUAGGGAAUGUGCCAAUUUGCCACUUGUGAUAGACAUAGUAGCAAAAACCUUCAGAAAGAAAGAUAGAAUUUCUCUAUGGUGGGCUGGAUUGAAGAGAUUGCAGAAGUGGCCUAAUAUUAAUGAUCAAGCCAUGGAUGAAGUACUUGAUCGAUUGAGAUUUUGCUAUGAAGAAUUAGGCAAGGAAGAUAAAAAGGUUUGCUUUCUCUAUGUUGCAUUAUUUACUGAAGGUUGCAAUGUCUAUAUGGAUUAUUUGCUGGAAUGCUGGAGAGCUGAAGGUUUCAUUCGUGAUGCGGAUGAGUUCACUGCACGCGACAGAGGAAUAGAAAUAUUGAAUGAUCUCAUCAAUGUAUCUUUGCUAGAGAGCUCUGAGAUGAAACACAUAAAGAUGAAUAAAGUUCUUCGUAAUAUGGCCCUUAAGAUCUCAUCAGAGAAAGAGGAUUCCAAAUGUUUGGUGAAAACCCAUGAAGAGAUACAACAGCCCCUAGAGGAGGAAGAAUGGAAACAGGCGAAGCGAAUCUCUUUGAUGGAUAACAAAUUGCGUAGUUUGCCAGAAAGACCAGCUUGCAGUAACCUCUCAACACUGUUGCUACAGAGAAAUGGUGAUUUGACAAUGAUCCCUGAGCAAUUCUUUGGAUCUAUGCAAAAUCUUCGAGUUCUAGACUUGCAUGGAACCAAGAUUACAACAUUACCAUUGUCUCUAUCUUGCUUGCAAAGCCUCAGAGCACUCUAUUUAAAUUGUUGCAAUCAAUUAAUAAAGCUCCCAUCAAGAAUAGACACUUUGCAGCAUCUUGAGGUGCUUGAUAUUCGAGGCACUAAGAUUAAUUAUUUACCCAUUGAAGUUGGAUGUUUGAGACAGCUGAGGUGUUUACGUAUGUCAUUCUCAAAUAUUGAUGGAAGAUCAAGGAGGAUGGAAAUUUACCGAAACAUCAUUUCAAAACUUUCUUUGUUGGAAGAAUUGGUCAUUGAUGUUAGGGUGGGUAAUCAAUGGUGGAAUGAGGUUGCAAGAGAAAUGAGUGAGGAGGUAGCUACCUUGACAAAAUUGACCUCUCUUUCAUUUUGUUUUCCUGGAGUGGAUAUUCUUAAGAUCUUUAUCAUGAAAAGCUCAAUGUGGAAGCACUUUUGCUUUGCAUUCCAAUUUUCCAUUGGUCAAUAUCAUUCACAUCCAUACAGAAUUGUUGAUUAUUUUGAAUAUGAAGUCUGCAAGUGCUUGAAAUAUGCAAAUGGUGAAGGCAUAGAUGCUGCAAUAAAAGAAGUACUUGCUACAGCCAAUGCACUUGAGCUACUUGGAAAUAAAGGAGUUCUCAAACUAUCUGAUUAUGGCGUUGACAAUCUCAACAAGUUGAGGAGUUGUUUGAUUGAAAGUUGCAAUGAAAUGGAAACCAUUAUUGACGGCAAUGGGAUAACGAAUGUUGUAUUGCAAUCCUUGGAAAAGAUGUACAUAAGCAAUCUCCCCAUGUUGAAAAGCAUCUGGGAGGGUUCAAUACCUACUGGAAGCCUAGCUCAACUUACCACUUUAAUCUUCUACAAAUGCCCAAAGUUGAAAAAGAUCUUCUCCAAAGGGUUAAUUCAACAACUCUGUAAGCUGCAACAUUUGGAAGUUGAAGAUUGUGAAGAAAUUGAAGAGAUUAUUAUAGAAACAGAGAACAAUGGAUUGGAAUCUCGUGCACUUCCAAGUCUGAAGAAACUAAUACUUCUUAAUCUACCAAGAUUAAGGAGCGUAUGGAUUGAUGACUCACUAGAGUGGCCUUCUUUAGAAAGGACUGUGAUUGCCAUGUGCCCUCUGUUGGAGAGGUAUCCUUAAUGCAACAUUUAGAUCAUCUAAUUGCAUCUUUGUAUGAAACAUAUUUUCAUUCUUGAUUAAAAUGGCCAGUUAAUAUCAAUACCAGCCAUGAAUUAGUAGGACUGGAAGUCCUGAUCUAGUUUUGUUGUAUGACAACAAACCCAACUCUGAAAUGUCUUUUGUCGUUUGUGUUUGUGUGGGCUUUUUCGGACUGCUGAACAAUUUGAUAAGAAAUAUUGGUUGGUUACUGGUGAGAUUUUUAUGUUUUGUCAUUUGUUUUUGUGUGGG